GUAGGUGGCAAGCGUUGUCCGGAAUUAUUGGGCGUAAAGCGCGCGCAGGCGGUCCCUUAAGUCUGAUGUGAAAGCCCACGGCUCAACCGUGGAGGGUCAUUGGAAACUGGGGGACUUGAGUACAGAAGAGGAAAGCGGAAUUCCAAGUGUAGCGGUGAAAUGCGUAGAGAUUUGGAGGAACACCAGUGGCGAAGGCGGCUUUCUGGUCUGUAACUGACGCUGAGGCGCGAAAGCGUGGGGAGCAAACAGGAUUAGAUACCCUGGUAGUCCACGCCGUAAACGAUGAGUGCUAAGUGUUAGGGGGUUUCCCGCCCCCUUAGUGCUGCAGCUAACGCAUUAAGCACUCCGCCUGGGGAGUACGGCCCGCAAGGCUG
RNAcentral lists this ribosomal RNA (374 nucleotides) under uncultured organism. RNAcentral describes it as "partial 16S ribosomal RNA". It matches the Rfam family "Bacterial small subunit ribosomal RNA", at positions 527 to 896 of the family's 1533-position model. The record is from RNAcentral.